RNAcentral lists this ribosomal RNA (180 nucleotides) under uncultured Glomeromycotina. Its description in RNAcentral is "partial small subunit ribosomal RNA". The stretch from base 91 to 180 matches the Rfam family "Eukaryotic small subunit ribosomal RNA", at positions 738 to 830 of the family's 1831-position model. Lineage: Eukaryota; Fungi; Glomeromycota. The record is from RNAcentral.
GGCCUGGCUGGCCGGUCCGCCUCACCGCGUGCACUGGUCCGGCCGGGCCUUUCCUUCUGGCUAGCCGCAUGCUCUUCACUGAGUGUGUCGGGGAACCAGGACUUUUACUUUGAAAAAAUUAGAGUGUUCAAAGCAGGCUCACGCUUGAAUACAUUAGCAUGGAAUAACGAAAUAGGACGU